AGAGUUUGAUCCUGGCUCAGAGUGAACGCUGGCGGCGUGCUUAACACAUGCAAGUCGAACGAGAACGGACUAAAGCUUGCUUUAGUUGUCAGCUAAGUGGCGCACGGGUGAGUAAUAUAUAGAUAAUGUGCCUUGGAGAGGGGGAUAAUUGUUGGAAACGACUUGUAAAACCCUAUAUGCCCUUAAUACAAAAGUAUGCAGGGGAAAUAUUUAUAGCUCCAAGAUCAGUCUGUACAGUAUCAGCUUGUUGGUGAGGUAAUGGCUCACCAAGGCUAUGACGCUUAACUGGUUUGAGAGGAUGAUCAGUCACACUGGAACUGAGACACGGUCCAGACUCCUACGGGAGGCAGCAGUGGGGAAUAUUGCACAAUGGAGGAAACUCUGAUGCAGCAACGCCGCGUGGAGGAUGACACAUUUCGGUGCGUAAACUCCUUUUAUAUCUGAAGAUAAUGACGGUAAGAUAUGAAUAAGCACCGGCUAACUUCGUGCCAGCAGCCGCGGUAAUACGAGGGAUGCAAGCGUUACUCGGAAUCACUGGGCGUAAAGAGCAUGUAGGCGGAUAAUUAAGUUGGAAGUGAAAUCCUAUGGCUUAACCAUAGAACUGCUUCCAAAACUGAUUAUCUAGAGUAUGGGAGAGGUAGAUGGAAUUUCUGGUGUAGGGGUAAAAUCCGUAGAGAUCAGAAGGAAUACCGAUUGCGAAGGCGAUCUACUGGAACAU
Molecule: ribosomal RNA, 718 nt
Filed under: uncultured Campylobacterota bacterium
Lineage: Bacteria; Pseudomonadati; Campylobacterota
Description: bacterial SSU rRNA
Rfam family: Bacterial small subunit ribosomal RNA
Source: RNAcentral